AAGACCAAGCAAUGCCUGCUGGGAGCCUACGAUUUCCUUUCAGAGGACAUUUUGGAUUUAAAGGGACUGAUCGCUGACAGUAGAAGCUCUCGAUCCCCCUAAGGUAGACUAGACAAUGUCCACAAUGGUGUACCCAAGGGAAGAGAAGCUGGAGAAGCUGUCCCAGGAGGAGAUCAUCUCCAACACCAAGCUGGUGAUCCAGGGCCUGGAGGCACUGAAGAACGAGCACAACUCCAUCCUGCACAGCCUUCUGGAGACCAUCAAGUGCUUGAAGAAGGAUGAGGAGGCCAACCUUGUUCACGAGAAGUCCAGCCUGCUGCGGAAGUCUGUGGAGAUGAUCGAGCUGGGCCUGGGAGAAGCACAGGUGAUGAUGGCCUUGUCCAACCACUUGAAUGCCGUGGAGUCAGAGAAGCAGAAGCUGCGUGCCCAGGUGAGGAGGUUGUGCCAGGAGAACCAGUGGCUAAGGGACGAGCUGGCAAACACCCAGCAGAAGCUGCAGAAGAGCGAGCAGAGUGUGGCCCAGCUAGAGGAAGAGAAGAAACACCUGGAGUUCAUGAACCAGCUCAAGAAGUACGACGAAGAUGUCUCUCCCACGCAGGAGGAGAAGGAUGGCGAGCCUCCCAAGGAUUCUCUGGACGAUCUCUUCCCUAAUGAUGAAGAGGAGCACGGUCAAGGCAUGCAGCACCAGCACAACAGCGCGGCGGUGGCUGCUGCCCAGCAGGGCGGCUAUGAGAUUCCGGCCCGUCUGAGGACCCUCCACAACCUGGUGAUCCAGUAUGCCUCCCAGGGACGCUACGAGGUGGCCGUGCCCCUCUGCAAACAGGCCCUGGAGGACCUGGAGAAGACCUCCGGCCACGACCACCCUGAUGUGGCCACCAUGCUCAACAUCCUGGCCCUGGUUUACAGGGAUCAGAACAAAUACAAAGAGGCAGCCCACCUGCUGAACGACGCCCUGUCUAUCCGAGAGAAGACCCUCGGCAAAGACCACCCGGCGGUUGCUGCUACGCUCAACAACCUGGCCGUGCUGUACGGUAAGAGGGGAAAGUACAAGGAGGCUGAGCCGCUAUGCAAAAGGGCCCUGGAGAUCAGAGAAAAGGUACUGGGCAAGGACCACCCUGACGUGGCCAAGCAGCUGAACAACCUGGCCCUGCUCUGUCAAAACCAGGGCAAGUACGAGGAGGUGGAGUACUACUACUGCCGCGCCCUGGAGAUCUACGAGUGCAGACUGGGCCCAGAUGACCCCAAUGUGGCCAAGACCAAGAACAACCUGGCAUCCUGCUUUCUCAAACAGGGGAAAUACAAGGAGGCCGAGAUUCUGUACAAAGAGAUUCUGACCCGCGCCCACGAGAAAGAGUUUGGAUCCGUUGACGCUGAGAACAAACCUAUCUGGAUGCAUGCCGAGGAGAGGGAGGAGAGUAAGGGCAAGAACCGAGACAACACCCCGUACGGCGAGUAUGGAGGCUGGUACAAGGCCUGCAAAGUCAAUAGCCCAACAGUGAACACCACUCUGAGGAACCUGGGGGCUCUGUACCGCCGACAGGGAAAGCUGGAGGCCGCCGAGACCCUGGAGGAAUGUGCCAUGAGGUCCCGCAAACAGAGCAACACAGGCAUAGACCCCAUCCACCAGACUCGGGUGGUGGAGAUCUUAAAGGAUGGCGAGGGGGACCGGGAGAGGCGGAGGAGCCGCGACAGCCUGUCCAGUGUCAAGUACGAGAGCAGCUCUGAGACGGGCGAGGAAGUGAGUAUGGGCGUGGAGUGGAACGGGGUGAGUACAAGUCCACAUCAACCUUUUUCACUCCCCCAAAAAUGCCAGUGUCUUUUGUGACGGACAGACUAAUGGGCUGGUACAGAGCAUACGUGACCAUGUUCCCUUUAUCGUUGUGUUUAGGCACACGUUCUCCACACCUUCCCCCUAGUCAGUUCUUUCACGCUACCAAUCGUGGAUUUAAAAGUAUAAGGAAGGGUUUUAAUUGGAGGGAGUUGCAUACCCUCUGCCUACUCAACUCCUAUUGGCUGUGAGAGGGGCGGGACCACCUGUCUCAACCUGUGGGUUUGGAAAAGGAGUGAAGAGCGGAUGUCUGUUCACUCCUGGUUCUGGAGAUUCUCGUACUGCAACUAUUAGAAACGUUGUAUCAGUUCCUCUGCUUUCUGUGUUAUUGGUCUGUCCUCACUAAAGCGUCACUUGGAAAUCCUUUUUGGAAAGGCGCAGCUGAUUGAGUGCCUUGGCACGCCCUUGUGUAUAACUUGUUGAAAUAACUCCUGGCUUUGUUUGUGCUUACCUUUUUUAUUGUGUUUUUAUGAUGCUUGUUAAUGUAUCUUGCAAUUUUUCAUUUUAAUUCAUUUAUGUUCCUUGUUAAGGUUAAAAUAAAAUGGUACUGGUUUACUCUGGGGUAUCUUUGGAAGGCAGAAUAUCAUUUAACAUAAAACAAAAGACUUCAAUGUUUGUCUUAAGCUUCAUUAGUCAGUCACCCUUGUUUUGGGGUCAUUUCGAUGCAAUCGAUUCAUGAAGUAAAGUAAAAUGAAAUUGUCCCCAGGCCCGGUUCGGAUCCAAACCAGUUUAGCACAGCAGCAGUAACAUGCCUCUAUGAGACGCUGCCUGGCAGCUUGUUGCUGUUUGGACAUCUGGACAUGUUGUAAGUUUUAGUCUAUGUGAAGUUUGGCCAGAAUGGAUGUUUACGGACCGGGCAAAUCUGCCAACUUCUAAACCCAAUGAGGCCCAAAGGAGCUUGGAUGAGUUUACUGCCGGUUUGCUUAAAUAGACACUCUGCAACCCCAGGGAACCUGGUCAAAAGUAGUGCGCUAUAUAGGGUGUAGGUUUGCCAUUUGGGAAGCCUCUAUUCUGCCAAUAAAUCCCCAGUUUGAGCCUGUGCCUCCCCCUCACACUAGCCACCUCCUCACAACACCCCCCUAUCCCCAACACGCAUGUUCUUCCUCUGCUGGCUGAUGAGGCUCACCUUUUAACCCGGGGCCAGCCGUGUUAAUAGAGUUGUCGUGUUCAGCUGGUUUGUAAUGGGCUCCAAAAUCACUUGUUAAGGAGCUGUGCCUCAUUCCCUGAGGUUAAUUCUCUGAUGAUGUCCCUGUAGCCUUUAUUCUGAUCUGGGAGUUUAUCUUAAAGGAGCAGUGUUUUAAAUGUUUUCUCCAUGUGGAAGCUAACCCUUCCCUGCUUCCCACUUGAAAAAGUUCAAGUUGAAAUGCUAAAAUCUGUCAGAACAAUUUUAUUUGGGAGAAAAAUGAACUGUAAAGGGAUUAUGCUUGCCACUGUCCAUGGAUGUGCUUGAGGAGAUGACUCCUUGUCUUAGUGACACUGAUGGAAUUAAGGGAAGGUACAGCUUUUCCAUUUGACAAAGAUAACAUUUUAGGUUGUACUUUCUGUCCACAAUUUCAGUGGAUUAUAAUGGAGUGGAACAAUACUGUUAUUACUGCAGAUUUGUUAUGGAAAGGUUUGGAUAUUAUAAUGCAAAAAAGUCUAUAGAUUUUUCUUUGAAGGCCAGGAAAGUGUAUAUUGGUUGACUCAUGCGAUUGCUGGACAAAUACAAUUAGAGUCCAAGUGUCUUGUUUGUUUUCAUAUGAUCCAUAAAUUAUGGCAAAACAGACAACUCCUGGUAUAAAACGUGCUGCUUACAGUCUGAACACUAAUUCUGCCAAGUAGGGUUUAAAAAAUAUUGUUAACCAAAAUUCAGUUUCCUUCGGUGGGAUUAUAUAAGGACACUGUUUUGCCCAAGAACAGAAUGACAGAUUUUUCACUUUGUCGGCUCUGAGAUUUGAUCCGGCAACCUUUGUUUCUGCUACCUCUACUCAAGUGAGCAGUUGCCUUCGAUUUACUAGCAAAUGACAUGAAAGCACAUACUCAAACUUUAUAUUUUUGUAGAUCUGUUUUCAUUUGCAGUUCUGGUGUGGAGGUCUGUUACAAUUAGGACAAGGAUAGGUUUUAGUUUGACUCCAGUCACGUUGGGGCAUGUUGAGACUGGGGAACCUGUCUUCAGGAGUUUAAAGGAUAGUGUGAGACUUGAGGCAAGUUUGUUCUGCUGAAAACCACACUUGAUGUGAGGUCCCUGGUCCCUCUCUCACCGUGUCAAGUAAUCCCCGGUGGAGGACAGCAGGUAGUGGUGCUAGUCUGUGUAGGCAAGGAAGGUGUCGCGUCUGGUCAUACAUCUGGUCUACAUAGUUUUCAUCUGAGUGUCUGUGGGGGCGGGUAAAAGUCAUGUUUUAAUGUGCGUGCACGUGCUGUGCUUGAAAUAAUGUGGCUUUUUGUUUGCAUGAAUGUAUCGUCUGAGCGUCUGCAUGUCACACGUCCUCAACUACCCUUUUUGUUGGUGUCUCUACUAACCUGUUCUACUGACCAUUAGCCUUGCCAUGGCAACCAAUCAGCCUGUCAAUCAAAUUAUUCCCUUUUCCUCAUUCAGUGGAUUGUACUCUUCCUCUUGGUUCUGCCAUUUUACUAAGGUCGGAAACAAAGCUCGGGGCUUGGGCAGGUUGACAUGCUCAAAAAACAGAUAAGUAUUGACCCGAAUACAAACUCAUUAGUUAUAAUGUACUUCAACUUUGGUCUCUAAUCACUAGAUAAAAAUUAUUAAACAGAAACUAAAACCAAAAUGUUUAUCCAUUAGGAUAUUUUGAUCGCCUGCAUUAACGUGGCUUCUCAUUUGGGAUAGCCUUUCAUGCUCACAUUCCUCUCCUGUGCCCUGGCCAGUGUCUUCACUGCGGUAUACCAUUGGUAUGAGACGCAUACGUUCUCUUUGGUAGCGUUGAAUCCAUACAUCUAGCAUUGCCAACGCCUCCUCUCGUUGCUAGUUUUGAGGUUGCCACUGCAUUGCUGAGUCUUGCGGUUCUCCUCAAGUCUGCAGUGCACAGUCACUGGCUGCCUCGGUGUGCCAGGUCCACCCCUGACUGCCUAAACGCCUGGCUGAAAACAGCAUCCGCAGAGACACUACAGCAAACCGCUGAGUCACAGUGACUGGCCAGCACUGGACCAAGGCAAAGGCUGUUGUCGCAUCCAAAGGCUUGAGCCGGUUUCAUUAUGAAAGUGUGCACAUCGGGGGUGUUGCCACCUAGCUGGGUGGUUGGAUGACUUGAAAGGCCUAAGCCCACAUCAAGAUUAUUCCUCCAUCCUUCUCUCCUCUUCCCCAACCAAAAUAGCAAAGGAUGUUUUUGUCGACUCGAUUCCCCCUGGCCUUGUCUCCUCUCCUAGCACCAAAUGAAAACCCCCUCUGUCAUUCCUGGUGUUUCUCGGCGAGACCGCUCCUCGUUGGCAUCUCUGUCUCUCUACUGAAAACCGCUGGGAUGUUUGGUUUCCUUUUGAUCAAUUCCUCUCAUCGCUCUCUCUCUCUCUUCAUCCUUUUCUUUCAUGCAUUACUUUGUCACGAUUGUCUGAGUUUACUCUCCCUUUUCCUGUAACAAGAUGUCAUGCAUAUCAGGUUCACCUGUAAAACUCUCUCUACCCUCCUAACAUCCAGUUGUAAUGUUAAGGUGUUAAACUGUAUUUAAUAUUGUCGUGACAGAAGAGGGUUGAGUUUGGAAAUAUGGUGGCCUGUGGGGAACACACAGAGCAAACCAGGAAUGCCAGAAUGAUAUGGACAAUGGCGAAUCUGUGUCUAUGUGACCUGCAACCACUCCCGCUGCCCUUUACAUCUGUCCGAAAAACCUAGUAUGUUACCAUGACAACACGUGGCCGCUUGCCUUCACCACAGAGCUUAGGUUCACUGUCUGCGUCCUAUAGGAUUUUACUGUUGCUUUGCGUUAUUCCAGGGUUGUGUUUGUGUUGGAAUCGCUUUGCUUUCGAGAGCACACACACGCAUGCAAAACACGCAUGCACAACGAGUAGUCUGAUCAAAUACAAAAUGGCUUGGAUUGUCAAGUUAAGACAACUGGUGCCUUUUAUUUAAGCAGCAGUGGCUAGUAUCUUCUAGUUAAAAACUCACUUAUUUGCUCCCUUGAACUUAAUUUAAUCAUUUGUAAAGAUGUAUACAUAUUCCUAAGAUCAAAAAACAGAGCUGUUUUAAAGAGGUACUUUUGCUACCCAGGCUUUGGCGUAUGACAUUAGGUAGGCUAACUAACUACUUUGUGUUCACAAGAUCUUUUAAAAUCAAGAUUUUGUUUUUCCUAUUCCAUUUUUACUUGUUUUUUUAUUUAUCUUUCAUUAUGCUUGCUGUGUUUUGAUGGCAGAGAAAUGCAUUGGUAAUCUAAUCUUCUAUACAGUAAGUAAUCACUGUUGGUAUUAACACUGGGUGAUUGUCUCAAAUGAGUAUUUCACCCAUCUGUGUCCUUAACCUGUAAGCAGUAUGUGGAUACGGUUUGCAGAUGCUUGCAUUUUAACAUUUGUGGCAAAAAUCCUAUUAAAGUUUAGAGAGCUAUAUUAGCAUUUUUUAGGCAUAAUAUCCAAAUCGAACAAAAGUUUCUGAAAUUGAUUAUGAGGCUCAACAAAGCUCCUUAUAGAUAAUAUGAUAAUAUGAUUGGACCAUGAUGUACGGUAUGAACGACACCUAUAUUGGUACCAUUUCUGAAUAGGAUUUGUUUCACAAAUGCCACAAUCAUGGUACUGAUAUUAUAGUUGUAUUAAUCUCAUAGGAAAAUUAUUUAAGAACUUAUUUUCAAACAAUGAGUGAAUAAUGCAAUUAUAGGUUUUUGAACUUGGAUGGAUUUGUAGCAUGAAUGCUAAAAUGCUAGCACUUAGAAGUAAUGCCAGAGAAACUUAACUAAAGGAUUGAUUCUUGACCUACUUUAUCUAAAGACCUCACACACCAUAAGGACAUAAAUGUACCAUUUUGGCAUUUGGUUGAAAAAUCCCUUUAUUGGACUCAGUAUUUUUUUAUUCUUUCAUUCUGUGAGUCACAUAGAAGGCCUGAUUCAUCCUUUUGACAAAGGCAAAACCUCCGCAAUAUCCCUAGAGCUUAAUUUGUUCUGGUCUUUGAUUCAGAUGUGUUCACCAGUUUUGGAAAGUUUACGAUUAAGACCUAAAUGAACUGAUGAAGGCAGUUCAGAACUAACCAGGGGUCUUGGUUGAUAAAUCGCAUAAAGACAACAAAAAAUUAUAUCAAGUUCAUAGGUUAACUAUGAACUCUCUUUUCCUGUCCAUUUCGGUCCUAGUACUGAACUUCUCUACAUUAGUGAAUACAGCUGAGUAAAUUUCUUUGUACUUUUCACACCUUUUCCGUAGGGCUAUUGCUUAUCGUUGCCAUGGUUUCAUUUAAAAAGGGAAUGACGCUUGAAUGGUUAAAUGCUAUUGACGACACCACUAUGUAACGUUCUUGAAACAUACCCGUUCAAGCAACAGCGCGUCAGUUGUCUAAUAAAGAAAUGUUCAAACCUUUGUGACCAAGGGUAAGUUAGUGACUUGACGACCCACUAUAUGCCUUUAAUUACGUUGUUGUUCAGAUUAUACCAGACAAAUUAGUGUUACUGUCGGAGAAAAUGUAUAUUUGGUUCUCUAUGGCAAUACAGUUUUUGAACACAUGGGAUUUGAUGCCUUCAUUACGUUGCACACUUCAUUACCGUUGAACAUUGUACAUUCUGACUAGGCUUCGUUUUGGGCAACAAAACCCAUAACUACAGCUUAUUGGCCAAAGUGUUUAACUAUCCGAAUGUGUGUAGAGCACUCAUCGCAUAGGCUUUUUAACUGUCCAUUAGCUUGAUUUACCAGUCCUCCGCAUAAAUCAUAGCCACACCAUAAGUGACGGAGUGAAGCAACACUGUUUCUCGCGUGGUUCUGCCAAUGUGUUUGUGUUAUAGUGGAAUGCUGAUUAUUUAUUGUAAUGUAUCUCUCAUUGAUAUUCUAGCAUCAACUGCUGUUCAUUAGGGCAGGCGGAAGCUCCAUGGUAGCACACGCCUAGAGCGUAGAGCUGCUUAAACUUUACCAUGUGUUCUUGCAUUGUCGUGAUUGUUGCACCAACACUUGUUGGUGUUCUGAAAUAAAAGUUUUUCAUUUGUGAAGUG
Molecule: RNA transcript, 7929 nt
Organism: Esox lucius (northern pike)
Lineage: Eukaryota; Metazoa; Chordata; Actinopteri; Esociformes; Esocidae
Gene name: kinesin light chain 1
Exons: 15
Source: RefSeq, a predicted model, not a curated record